UACGUAGGGACCGGGCGUUGUCCGGAAUCAUUGGGCGUAAAGAGCGUGUAGGCGGCCUUUUAAGUCCUGCGUGAAAUCCUGCGGCUCAACCGCAGACGGUCGUGGGAAACUGGAAGGCUAGAGUGCGGGAGAGGAGAGUGGAAUUCCCGGUGUAGCGGUGAAAUGCGCAGAUAUCGGGAAGAACACCCGUGGCGAAGGCGGCUCUCUGGAACGCAACUGACGCUGAGACGCGAAAGCGUGGGGAGCAAACAGG
Molecule: ribosomal RNA, 253 nt
Filed under: uncultured bacterium
Lineage: Bacteria
Description: partial 16S ribosomal RNA
Rfam family: Bacterial small subunit ribosomal RNA
Source: RNAcentral